UGCAGUCGAGCGAACAGAUGAGAAGCUUGCUUCUCUGAUGUUAGCGGCGGACGGGUGAGUAACACGUGGGUAACCUACCUAUAAGACUGGGAUAACUCCGGGAAACCGGGGCUAAUACCGGAUAAUAUUUUGAACCGCAUGGUUCAAUAGUGAAAGACGGUUUCGGCUGUCACUUAUAGAUGGACCCGCGCCGUAUUAGCUAGUUGGUAAGGUAAUGGCUUACCAAGGCGACGAUACGUAGCCGACCUGAGAGGGUGAUCGGCCACACUGGAACUGAGACACGGUCCAGACUCCUACGGGAGGCAGCAGUAGGGAAUCUUCCGCAAUGGGCGAAAGCCUGACGGAGCAACGCCGCGUGAGUGAUGAAGGUCUUCGGAUCGUAAAACUCUGUUGUUAGGGAAGAACAAAUUUGUUAGUAACUGAACAAGUCUUGACGGUACCUAACCAGAAAGCCACGGCUAACUACGUGCCAGCAGCCGCGGUAAUACGUAGGUGGCAAGCGUUAUCCGGAAUUAUUGGGCGUAAAGCGCGCGUAGGCGGUUUCUUAAGUCUGAUGUGAAAGCCCACGGCUCAACCGUGGAGGGUCAUUGGAAACUGGGAAACUUGAGUGCAGAAGAGGAGAGUGGAAUUCCAUGUGUAGCGGUGAAAUGCGCAGAGAUAUGGAGGAACACCAGUGGCGAAGGCGGCUCUCUGGUCUGUAACUGACGCUGAUGUGCGAAAGCGUGGGGAUCAAACAGGAUUAGAUACCCUGGUAGUCCACGCCGUAAACGAUGAGUGCUAAGUGUUAGGGGGUUUCCGCCCCUUAGUGCUGCAGCUAACGCAUUAAGCACUCCGCCUGGGGAGUACGACCGCAAGGUUGAAACUCAAAGGAAUUGACGGGGACCCGCACAAGCGGUGGAGCAUGUGGUUUAAUUCGAAGCAACGCGAAGAACCUUACCAAAUCUUGACAUCCUUUGACCGCUCUAGAGAUAGAGUCUUCCCCUUCGGGGGACAAAGUGACAGGUGGUGCAUGGUUGUCGUCAGCUCGUGUCGUGAGAUGUUGGGUUAAGUCCCGCAACGAGCGCAACCCUUAAGCUUAGUUGCCAUCAUUAAGUUGGGCACUCUAGGUUGACUGCCGGUGACAAACCGGAGGAAGGUGGGGAUGACGUCAAAUCAUCAUGCCCCUUAUGAUUUGGGCUACACACGUGCUACAAUGGAUAAUACAAAGGGCAGCGAAUCCGCGAGGCCAAGCAAAUCCCAUAAAAUUAUUCUCAGUUCGGAUUGUAGUCUGCAACUCGACUACAUGAAGCUGGAAUCGCUAGUAAUCGUAGAUCAGCAUGCUACGGUGAAUACGUUCCCGGGUCUUGUACACACCGCCCGUCACACCACGAGAGUUUGUAACACCCGAAGCCGGUGGAGUAACCUUUUAGGAGC
RNAcentral lists this ribosomal RNA (1413 nucleotides) under bacterium. RNAcentral describes it as "bacterial SSU rRNA". It matches the Rfam family "Bacterial small subunit ribosomal RNA". The record is from RNAcentral.